This 406-nucleotide ribosomal RNA is filed under the name uncultured bacterium. RNAcentral's name for it is "partial 16S ribosomal RNA". It matches the Rfam family "Bacterial small subunit ribosomal RNA", at positions 30 to 526 of the family's 1533-position model. The record is from RNAcentral.
AUUGAACGCUGGCGGCAGGCCUAACACAUGCAAGUCGAACGAGUGGCGUACGGGUGAGUAAUUUCUGGGAACCUGCCUGAUGGAGGGGGAUAACUACUGGAAACGGUAGCUAAUACCGCAUACCAUCAGAUGUGCCCAGAUUGGAUUAGCUUGUUGGUGGGGUAACGGCUCACCAAGGAGACGAUCCCUAGCUGGUCUGAGAGGAUGACCAGCGACGCUGGAACGGAGACGCGGUCAAGACUCCUACGGGAGGAAGGAGUGGGGAAUAUUGCACAAAGGGCGGAAGCCAGAUGCAGCCGUGCCGCGUGUAUUAAGAAGGCCUUGGGGUUAGAAAGUAGUUUCAGCGGGGAGGCGUUACCCGCAGAAGAAGCACCGGCUAACUCCGUGCCAGCAGACGCGGUAAGAC